Molecule: unclassified non-coding RNA, 143 nt
Filed under: uncultured Helotiales
Lineage: Eukaryota; Fungi; Ascomycota; Leotiomycetes; Helotiales
Description: sequence contains ITS2
Source: RNAcentral
CAACCCUCAAGCUUUGCUUGGUAUUGGGCAUCACCGUCCUAGGUGUGCCUCAAAGUCAUUGGCGGUGCCACCUGGCUUCUAGCGUAGUAAUACUUUUCGCUAUGGAGUUUAGGUGAGUGCUUGCCACCAACCCCUAAUUUCAA